UAGUACUUAUUUGGGCAAUUCAGCAACACAGGGAAGGGACAAGAAAGAGGGAGCCACUGGUAACAAGCGACGGAUAUCUAAUUUACAUUUGGCAACGUUGAUCGUCCAUUUUAUCCGCCAUUCUGUGGGAUUCUUCUUUCGGCUAGGCACGUACAUCAAAAUAUCCUAGUUUUCCAAAAAUGUUGGGCGCUCGCAAAGUUGUUUCCUUGACGAAAUCCCUCGCCGGAACAAAUGGAUUCCAACUGCGAACAUCAGCCAUUUCUGGCCCUGCACGCGUGAAAGUCCCUGCUGCGGAAAAGGCUUUCCUAGGAUUGCUUAUUGUAGGAGGUGUUACAUUCUUCCCUGCUUGGGUGCUGGCGCAUAUCGCCGAAUAUCGAGGAGCUGCCGAUGAAUAACAUCUUUAUUCCUUCCUCAAUGUUGAAGCUGUAGAACGUGUAAAUGAAUGGCCUAAAUAUAAAAGCUCUCAAAGUA
Long non-coding RNA from Daphnia carinata, 471 nucleotides. RefSeq lists it as uncharacterized. NCBI's taxonomy places the organism in Eukaryota, Metazoa, Arthropoda, Branchiopoda, Diplostraca, Daphniidae. The record is from RefSeq and is a predicted model, not a curated record. The transcript is spliced from 2 exons.